This 2261-nucleotide ribosomal RNA is filed under the name Salmonella enterica. RNAcentral describes it as "partial 23S ribosomal RNA". It matches the Rfam family "Bacterial large subunit ribosomal RNA", at positions 689 to 2925 of the family's 2925-position model. Lineage: Bacteria; Pseudomonadati; Pseudomonadota; Gammaproteobacteria; Enterobacterales; Enterobacteriaceae. The record is from RNAcentral.
UGGGCGUUAAGUUGCAGGGUAUAGACCCGAAACCCGGUGAUCUAGCCAUGGGCAGGUUGAAGGUUGGGUAACACUAACUGGAGGACCGAACCGACUAAUGUUGAAAAAUUAGCGGAUGACCUGUGGCUGGGGGUGAAAGGCCAAUCAAACCGGGAGAUAGCUGGUUCUCCCCGAAAGCUAUUUAGGUAGCGCCUCGUGAAUUCAUCUCCGGGGGUAGAGCACUGUUUCGGCUAGGGGGCCAUCCCGGCUUACCAACCCGAUGCAAACUGCGAAUACCGGAGAAUGUUAUCACGGGAGACACACGGCGGGUGCUAACGUCCGUCGUGAAGAGGGAAACAACCCAGACCGCCAGCUAAGGUCCCAAAGUCAUGGUUAAGUGGGAAACGAUGUGGGAAGGCCCAGACAGCCAGGAUGUUGGCUUAGAAGCAGCCAUCAUUUAAAGAAAGCGUAAUAGCUCACUGGUCGAGUCGGCCUGCGCGGAAGAUGUAACGGGGCUAAACCAUGCACCGAAGCUGCGGCAGCGACGCUGAUGCGUUGUUGGGUAGGGGAGCGUUCUGUAAGCCUGCGAAGGUGGCCUGUGAGGGUUGCUGGAGGUAUCAGAAGUGCGAAUGCUGACAUAAGUAACGAUAAAGCGGGUGAAAAGCCCGCUCGCCGGAAGACCAAGGGUUCCUGUCCAACGUUAAUCGGGGCAGGGUGAGUCGACCCCUAAGGCGAGGCCGAAAGGCGUAGUCGAUGGGAAACGGGUUAAUAUUCCCGUACUUGGUGUUACUGCGAAGGGGGGACGGAGAAGGCUAUGUUGGCCGGGCGACGGUUGUCCCGGUUUAAGCGUGUAGGUGUGUGUUCCAGGUAAAUCCGGUUCACUUUAACACUGAGGCGUGAUGACGAGGCACUACGGUGCUGAAGCAACAAAUGCCCUGCUUCCAGGAAAAGCCUCUAAGCAUCAGGUAACAUCAAAUCGUACCCCAAACCGACACAGGUGGUCAGGUAGAGAAUACCAAGGCGCUUGAGAGAACUCGGGUGAAGGAACUAGGCAAAAUGGUGCCGUAACUUCGGGAGAAGGCACGCUGACACGUAGGUGAAGUGAUUUACUCAUGGAGCUGAAGUCAGUCGAAGAUACCAGCUGGCUGCAACUGUUUAUUAAAAACACAGCACUGUGCAAACACGAAAGUGGACGUAUACGGUGUGACGCCUGCCCGGUGCCGGAAGGUUAAUUGAUGGGGUCAGCGCAAGCGAAGCUCCUGAUCGAAGCCCCGGUAAACGGCGGCCGUAACUAUAACGGUCCUAAGGUAGCGAAAUUCCUUGUCGGGUAAGUUCCGACCUGCACGAAUGGCGUAAUGAUGGCCAGGCUGUCUCCACCCGAGACUCAGUGAAAUUGAACUCGCUGUGAAGAUGCAGUGUACCCGCGGCAAGACGGAAAGACCCCGUGAACCUUUACUAUAGCUUGACACUGAACAUUGAGCCUUGAUGUGUAGGAUAGGUGGGAGGCUUUGAAGUGUGGACGCCAGUCUGCAUGGAGCCGGCCUUGAAAUACCACCCUUUAAUGUUUGAUGUUCUAACGUGGACCCGUGAUCCGGGUUGCGGACAGUGUCUGGUGGGUAGUUUGACUGGGGCGGUCUCCUCCUAAAGAGUAACGGAGGAGCACGAAGGUUGGCUAAUCCUGGUCGGACAUCAGGAGGUUAGUGCAAUGGCAUAAGCCAGCUUGACUGCGAGCGUGACGGCGCGAGCAGGUGCGAAAGCAGGUCAUAGUGAUCCGGUGGUUCUGAAUGGAAGGGCCAUCGCUCAACGGAUAAAAGGUACUCCGGGGAUAACAGGCUGAUACCGCCCAAGAGUUCAUAUCGACGGCGGUGUUUGGCACCUCGAUGUCGGCUCAUCACAUCCUGGGGCUGAAGUAGGUCCCAAGGGUAUGGCUGUUCGCCAUUUAAAGUGGUACGCGAGCUGGGUUUAGAACGUCGUGAGACAGUUCGGUCCCUAUCUGCCGUGGGCGCUGGAGAACUGAGGGGGGCUGCUCCUAGUACGAGAGGACCGGAGUGGACGCAUCACUGGUGUUCGGGUUGUCAUGCCAAUGGCACUGCCCGGUAGCUAAAUGCGGAAGAGAUAAGUGCUGAAAGCAUCUAAGCACGAAACUUGCCCCGAGAUGAGUUCUCCCUGAGACUUAGAGUCUCCUGAAGGAACGUUGAAGACGACGACGUUGAUAGGCCGGGUGUGUAAGCGCAGCGAUGCGUUGAGCUAACCGGUACUAAUGAACCGUGAGGCUUAACCUU